RNAcentral lists this long non-coding RNA (601 nucleotides) under Manacus vitellinus (golden-collared manakin). Its description in RNAcentral is "lncRNA (ENSMVIG00005016505.1)". Lineage: Eukaryota; Metazoa; Chordata; Aves; Passeriformes; Pipridae. The record is from RNAcentral.
GCCCGUCCAACCAAGCCUUGGACACUUCCAGGAGCGGGGCAGCCACAGCUUCUCUGGGCAACCUGUGCCAGGGCCUCCUCACCCUCACAGGAAAGAAUUCCUUCCCAAAAUUUAAUCCAAAUUUCUCCUCUUUUAAUUUAAAACCACUUCAUCUUCUACCCUUCUCGCAAGAUUGUUCCAGUGAACUUCAGCGUGUUCAGCCUGAUCCAGGAGAUGCGCACGCAGAGGCCCUGCCUCGUGCAGACCAAGGAGCAGUAUGAGUUGGUUUAUGAUGUGGUGAUUGAGCUCUUCAGAAGGAGGAUUAAAGCACUCGAUGCCCAGAAAGAUUCUGCUGAUUCCCAGGUAAAAGUCCCAGAACAAACACCCUGCCUCUAAUCUCGAUUCCUGCUGCAGGCCUGGGAUCAAUCCCCAUGUUUUCUGCUCCCCUUGAUGCCCAAAUUGAUUCUCUUUUGAAGCUGACCCAUGAGAAUCCAGCUCUGAACGUGCAAUGCUUAUCACAACCAACACCUAAAUUUUUCUUUGGUCCUCAAACCAUUUUAUGUUUUCUAUACACUUACAUAAUUGCUUAAUGCCACAAGUGAAUAGAAAAGCACCAGCUUAC